UCUGUUUAACAGCCUGCCCACCCUGGAA
This 28-nucleotide small nuclear RNA is filed under the name Arabidopsis thaliana (thale cress). Its description in RNAcentral is "snRNA_16664". Lineage: Eukaryota; Viridiplantae; Streptophyta; Magnoliopsida; Brassicales; Brassicaceae. RNAcentral also lists the same sequence under 1 other name. The record is from RNAcentral.